RNAcentral lists this ribosomal RNA (497 nucleotides) under uncultured bacterium. Its description in RNAcentral is "partial 16S ribosomal RNA". It matches the Rfam family "Bacterial small subunit ribosomal RNA", at positions 28 to 507 of the family's 1533-position model. The record is from RNAcentral.
GAUGAACGCUGGCGGCGUGCCUAAUACAUGCAAGUCGAGCGAACAGACGAGGAGCUUGCUCCUUUGACGUUAGCGGCGGACGGGUGAGUAACACGUGGGUAACCUACCUAUAAGACUGGGAUAACUUCGGGAAACCGGAGCUAAUACCGGAUAAUAUUUCGAACCGCAUGGUUCGAUAGUGAAAGAUGGCUUUGCUAUCACUUAUAGAUGGACCUGCGCCGUAUUAGCUAGUUGGUAAGGUAACGGCGUACCAAGGCAACGAUACGUAGCCGAACUGAGAGGGUGAUCGGCCACACUGGAACGGAGACACGGUCCAGACUCCUACGGGAGGCAGCAGUAGGGAAUCUUCCGCAAUGGGCGAAAGCCUGACGGAGCAACGCCGCGUGAGUGAUGAAGGUCUUCGGAUCGUAAAACUCUGUUAUUAGGGAAGAACAAACGUGUAAGUAACUGUGCACGUCUUGACGGUACCUAAUCAGAAAGCCACGGCUAACUACGUG